This 462-nucleotide ribosomal RNA is filed under the name uncultured bacterium. RNAcentral describes it as "partial 16S ribosomal RNA". It matches the Rfam family "Bacterial small subunit ribosomal RNA", at positions 28 to 507 of the family's 1533-position model. The record is from RNAcentral.
GACGAACGCUGGCGGCGUGCUUAACACAUGCAAGUCGAACGGAAAGGCCCUUCGGGGUACUCGAGUGGCGAACGGGUGAGUAACACGUGGGUGAUCUGCCCUGCACUUUGGGAUAAGCCUGGGAAACUGGGUCUAAUACCGAAUAGGACCGCGCGCUUCAUGGUGUGUGGUGGAAAGCUUUUGCGGUGUGGGAUGGGCCCGCGGCCUAUCAGCUUGUUGGUGGGGUAAUGGCCUACCAAGGCGACGACGGGUAGCCGGCCUGAGAGGGUGACCGGCCACACUGGGCCUGGGAUACGGCCCAGACUCCUACGGGAGGCAGCAGUGGGGAAUAUUGCACAAUGGGCGCAAGCCUGAUGCAGCGACGCCGCGUGAGGGAUGACGGCCUUCGGGUUGUAAACCUCUUUCACCAGGGACGAAGCGCAAGUGACGGUACCUGGAGAAGAAGCACCGGCCAACUACGUG